UACGUAGGUGGCAAGCGUUGUCCGGAUUUAUUGGGCGUAAAGCGAGUGCAGGGGGUUCAAUAAGUCUGAUGUGAAAGCCUUCGGCUCAACCGGAGAAUUGCAUCAGAAACUGUUGAACUUGAGUGCAGAAGAGGAGAGUGGAACUCCAUGUGUAGCGGUGGAAUGCGUAGAUAUAUGGAAGAACACCAGUGGCGAAGGCGGCUCUCUGGUCUGCAACUGACGCUGAGGCUCGAAAGCAUGGGUAGCGAACAGG
RNAcentral lists this ribosomal RNA (253 nucleotides) under uncultured bacterium. Its description in RNAcentral is "partial 16S ribosomal RNA". It matches the Rfam family "Bacterial small subunit ribosomal RNA", at positions 524 to 776 of the family's 1533-position model. The record is from RNAcentral.